Molecule: long non-coding RNA, 687 nt
Filed under: Homo sapiens (human)
Lineage: Eukaryota; Metazoa; Chordata; Mammalia; Primates; Hominidae
Description: HSALNT0387751
Source: RNAcentral
GAUCAGCUGGGAAAAAAUUGAAAAGUAGUUGUUUUAAUUAUUUCCCCUUUAUGUGGUUAAAAAGAAGAUGAAGAAGAUUCUUUAAGUUCUAGCAUUGACUGUUGAAAGCCACUUAUAUAAAAGGUGCCAAGAACUACAGGAUUCUUUCAUCUACUGCUUUGCUUCAGAGCUCAUGAGUCAAGACUCCCCGGCCUAUUUUUAGGCCAUUUCUUCAGAUCACACGGUGGGCAGGGUUUGUUUACUCUGGAUCAGAGCUGCUCUGGGAACUCUCCAUGCAGCCACCAGACACUAGAACAAAGACCAGUGAGGAAGGAUGACUGAAGUCCAGACAUUGAGCGUGCCUGGUGUGUGUCCCGGUGACAAAGGCAGCCGAACAGACCACAGGGACUGGGGCUGGAGCAGUACAUAGCCCGGGGACAUCCUCCUGCCUGGCUCAGCAGCUGGAAUGGUUGCUUUGGCUCAUCCAACAAAAGCAGAGAGGACGCAUCCGCCUGGGCGCCAUGCAAAGUUUAUUGGACACAGGAAGGUCAGCCAGUGCUCAAAGGGCUUCCCUCAUGCAGCCAUCAGCUCUGGCCCCAAGCCCCUGGAGGGCCUCAUUCAUUUAUUCUUUGCUCCCCAUGAUGUUCUGAGAGCAAGCCAAGGGCAGGAGCUCCGCCUUGCCCAUGUUCAUAACCCCAACUCUACCAC